UUAGGAGCGGGUGACAGAUGCGCAAGGUGCCCUGAGGGCUUGGAGAGAGGCUAGUCAGGCAUAAAUACCACAGCAGGCUGUGCAGGCAGUUUAUGCUGCAGGAUGUGGAAGCUGGAGAAGUCUGGGGAAAGUGGAAAUGAGAACUGGGGAAGAGGAUUGUAUUCAGAUCCUGCUUAGUAAAAGGGAGGAAGGUAGCAGAUAUAUUUUUAAGAAGGUAAAUGAUGCAUAGCAGGGAUUUAGAGCUUUGAUUUCAGGAGAAAGAACUAGUAUAGCAGUGAUGUAUGUAUGGGGAAAAUGCCCUGGGCUCUAGAUUGCGUGUUAGGAAAUAAGUCUUGAGCUAAAGAUACGUAAGGUUUAUUGUAGAAAUGUGAGGUUUUAGGCCAUAUGGAUAUUGUCUCACAGACCCUACUGUUACUGAUGCCUUUGCUAGUCACCCCGCAGGUAGCAGAGGAUUGUAGCAGCAUUCCCAGUCAGCCUGAGGUCGUGUUGGGCACAGAGGGCAGCACGGGACAGGACGCAGCAGCCAUCCGCAUGGAGCUCCCGGCUCUGCAGAAGCUGUCUAGCGCUGUCCGGAUCUGUGUGUGGGGGGUGUUUCUUCCCCCGAAGUUUUCCUGGAACCGGGCACGGGACGGAGCCGCCUCCCGCCUGGGGGACGGGGACAGCCGCGGGCCGCCGGCGCCACCUCCUGGGAGCGCUGAGUAUCGCGGAGGCCUCCGCCUCACAAAGAUGCUGGCAGAAGCCUGUACAUCCCUGAGUCUUGAAAGUCAGAUGAUGGCUGUAUGAAUCCCAUUCUGCUCUUAGGUCUGGAAGGGUACCCAUAGGCAAUACAAGAUGACUUCAGUUCAUACUGUCCCUGGUUCUUGCAUUGCUGCACUAGAUUUAAAUAAUAAAAAUAAUAAAUUACAACAGAAUCUAUAUAUAGACAAAGUUUCUAGUCAUCCCCUUGCAGCUCAGAAAAAAAAGUGUCCCCAGUGCAAGCAGAAAGAAGGAAGUAUGUUCCACCUAUGACUUGAAGAAGUAACACAGUGCUAUGGAAAAUAAAAUUUACAGUUGCAGCUUCAGUUCCUGUUUUCUCCUGCUGCAGAGGGAGUGCCUGCUGGAUUUAGGGAGACAAUUAGGAAUAUCAUAGUGAUUAGCGUAUCUUCUUUGCCAAAUCUCCACCAUGGCCUGAGUUCCAGGGCCUGGCUUAUGGGCCUGUUGAAUUUAAGAAAGCCAAACAUUUCCUUGCAAUGACUUCCUUCCAUGCUCAUGUAUCCCCAAGAGCAGGACUUCUUGUCAAGCACUUCAUGUGUUUGAAGUGCAGUACUCCUAAAAGCAGGUGGAUCUGGAUUUUAGAAAUAAUUAAAAUCUUGUGGUGACUGAAAAGGUUUCCUCCAUUGGCCUCAUGGGCACUUGCAAAGUUGAAGCUUUCCUGCAGAGCAGCUUCACUUUCUGUACAAGGGGUAGCAAAACUGGGAUGGCAGGCAGGAGAUGCUGAGAUCUUGUCCUGUACUCUGGCAUUGCACACUGGUUUUUGCUGUUGAUCUCCUUUUGACGUGACAUGAAGUCUUCAACACUCAGUGUCUAAAUGUUUACAGUAUCUGUGUCUGCUAGAUAUAUUGGAUUGCUUUUACUGUUAUUAAAAUUAGAAUAAUCAGUUCCAACAGGAAGCUGACCAGAUGUCCUCAUUUAAUCAGAACAGAUCCCCUUUUUUCACGUAAUAUCCAGCUGUCCUAAUACUUUUCAGAGUAGACCCAUUAAUCUCAGUUUUCGUUGCAGUGAAAUUCUUGAUAGCUGUCAAGAAAUGCUCACUAAUAAUUGUCUGAUCCCUUCAUACUGUUUAAUGCUCAGAACUUUUCUUAAUAAGCAAAGAAAAUCAUAUUCUAUUUGCAAGGAAAUGCUUCAGUCUCACCCCUAGUGUAAAAUAUUUUCAAGAGAAUUCAUUAUGAAAGUAUUUUUGGAUUAAUUUAAUUUGUACACUAUUUUCUCAGACUGUAGGAAGCAGUUGGAAUGUUGUCUGGCAGAAUGUGUAGGGGAGAGAAAAUACACAUUUCUACAUAUGGG
Long non-coding RNA from Cairina moschata (Muscovy duck), 2043 nucleotides. The record is from Ensembl. Lineage: Eukaryota; Metazoa; Chordata; Aves; Anseriformes; Anatidae.